GCAACCGAUACCUCCGCGCCCGUCCACACGAUCGCGAUCCGACGGGGCCGCCGCCUCCGCGGCCGCCUGCUCUCCACAGCGACGUCGACUCGUCGAUGCGGGGGCGGAGACCUAGAAAUGCCGCCCUCCGCCCCCUCUUCCUCCCCAAAUCCGGCAUUGGCGAGCUUCCGCAAUCCCCGAAAAGUUGUGACAGGUCGCAAUGGCCGUCCCAAGAAGGUCUUUGGAUGGCAGGUUGUUCUGGGUGCUGGGCCUUGUUUGUGCCAUGUAUCAGAUAUUUUUUGUUCGGUCAGCAGCGGGUCAAACAGCACAGUUGAGUGUGAAUGCUUCACCUCAGAAUACUCAGAUGAUUCCUGAGAAUAUGUUUGGCAUCUUUUUCGAGGAGAUUAACCAUGCUGGGGCUGGUGGGUUGUGGGCCGAACUUGUAAAUAAUAGAGGUUUUGAAGCUGGUGGUCCUAAUACGCCUUCAAACAUUGACCCAUGGUUGAUAAUUGGAGAUGAAUCGAACAUUAUUGUUGCAACCGACCGCUCAUCCUGUUUUGCAACUAAUCCAAUCGCACUUCGGAUGGAAGUACUUUGUGAAUCUAGUGGAAAUGAUGUCUGCCCACCAGGAGGUGUCGGUAUUUAUAAUCCUGGUUUCUGGGGCAUGAAUAUUGAGGAAGCGAAGGUUUAUAAAGUCAGCAUGUACAUCAUGUCAUCAGACUCCAUGGAUCUAACAGUUUCCUUGACAAGUUCAGAUGGUCUUCAGAAUCUAGCUGCUUAUACCAUCACUGCUGAUAAGGAAGAUUUUAAAGAGUGGACGAAGGUUGAGUUUGAUCUGCAAUCAAGUGAAAGAAAUCCUAACUCAAGGCUUCAGCUUACAACCAGAACAAGUGGCAUUGUUUGGUUUGAUCAAGUAUCACUUAUGCCAUCUGAGACUUACAUGCGGCAUGGUUAUCGUAAAGAUCUUGCGUCUAUGCUGGCAAAUCUAAAGCCUAAAAUUUUGAAAUUCCCAGGUGGAAACUAUGUCAUGGGAAACUAUCUGUCAAAUGCAUUUCGCUGGAGUGAAACUGUUGGACCCUGGGAGGAGAGACCUGGUCAUUUUAAUGAUGUUUGGGGCUACUGGACUGAUGAUGGACUUGGAUUCUUUGAGUUCCUUCAAUUAGCAGAAGACCUUGGUGCUUGCCCAGUUUGGGUGGUCAAUGAUGGGGCUAGCCGAAAUGAACAAGUGCCAUCUGCCACAAUAGCUGCUUUUGUAAAGGAUGUUGUUGACGGUAUUGAGUUUGCGAGGGGAGACCCUGGGACUUCAUGGGGUUCAGUUCGUGCAGCAAUGGGACACCCAGAGCCCUUUCAGCUUAAUUAUAUUUCUAUGGGAAAUCAGGAAUGCUCAAUGCACUACUAUAAAGAGAAUUACCGCAAGUUCUAUUCUGCAAUAAAAGCAUCCUACCCAGAUAUCAAAAUCAUAUCCAGCUGUGAUAGAUCUACCAUUUCACCGGUCGAACCUGCUGAUCUGUAUGAUGUUCAUGUCUAUACCUCAUCUGGUGAUAUGUUUUCCAAAUCUAGCAUGUUUGACAGCACACCCCGAGGUGGACCGAAGGCAAUUGUUAGUGAAUAUGCCGUGACCGGAAAUGAUGCUGGCCGAGGAACACUAGUAGCUGCUUUAGCUGAAGCUGCAUUUCUUAUUGGAUUAGAAAGAAACAGCGAUGCUGUUGAAAUGGCAAGUUGUGCUCCACUCUUCGUAAAUGACAAUGAUCGCAGGUGGAGUCCAGAUGCCAUAGUCUUCAACUCAUGGCAGCACUAUGGAUGUCCAAACUACUGGAUGUUACACUUCUUCAAGGAGUCAAGCGGCGCGUCACUUCAUCCAUCUACCAUUCAAGUAUCGAACUAUAACCAACUGGUCGCAUCGGCUAUCACGUGGCAGAAUUCUAAAGAUGGAAAUACCUACCUAAAAAUAAAGGUUCUCAAUUUCGGCAACAAGGCUAUAGAUCUUAGUAUCUCUAUAACUGGGCUGGAGAAUGAGAUUCAGACAUUUGGAUCCGUAAAGACGGUACUUACAUCUGGUUCUCUACGGGAUGAGAACUCCUUCCAGCAACCAGACAAGGUGGUGCCGGUGGAAAGCCCGAUAAGCAAUGCGAGGGAGGAGAUGAGCCUUGUACUGGAUCCGUACUCCCUCACCUCGUUUGAUCUCCUCUUGGACCUGAAGUCAAGCUUGCAGAUGAUGCAUUCAGUCCCGGAGUCAAGCUUGCAUUCAAGUAUGUGAAUACAGAAAGGAAUGUGAUAGACGAGAGAGCCGUCUCUCAAUGCAAAACAUGAAUUUGGAUUAAACAUAAACUUAAUAUGGCCGUGUGUGGAUGUAUACAUUAACACGCAGGUUAAAGGGCAAGUGAUUAUGAUUGUCGAUAUGGUUCAGACUAAAGCUUAAGAACAUAUCCUCCGUCGUAGUCUAGGUGGUUAGGAUACUCGGCUCUCACCCGAGAGACCCGGGUUCAAGUCCCGGCGACAGAAUUUUUUUUGGAGGCGGCUUCAUACCGUUUUUGGCAAGAUUUCCUAUAUUUUUGAAAGGAACUGCGUCCUUGAAACGACAGUAUUGACAAACAUGUCGAAAAUAUUCUCAAUCAUUGACGCGCACCACUACGGCAGAGGUUUCCUCUUUCCUUGGCAGUCGUGCUCGUGGCCAUCCUAAUAAGGGAAUCUAUUCUUAACCCGCUCCCAAUUUUAAAAUUACAAAUUUCUCGCUCGCUUCCUUCCUAAUCCCGGCAGGAGGAGAAUCCUUCCCUCGCGGCCACCAAAGCACCGGCAGGCAGGCAGGCAGCCACCGCCUCUGCCCCGCUCCCCCCAACGCCCGCCCAUGGCUCCGGCUCCGGCGUCCAGCGGCCGCAUCCGGCCGUGGCUGGUGGUUGGCGACCUGGUCCUGGCGGUGCUGUGGGUGUGCGCGGGCGCGCUGGUGAAGCUGGCCGUGUACAACGUGCUCGGACUUGGGGGCCGCCCGGAGGGGGAAGCCGCCAAGGUCUCGCUCUCUGUCGUCUACAUGUUCCUCUUCGCCUGGCUUGAAUCCGCCACCGGCGGCGCCUCCUACAACCCGCUCACUGCCAUCUCCGGCGCCCUGGCCUCCCGCGGUGGCAUCGCCCUCUACCUCUUCACCGUCUUCGUACGGGUCCCUGCGCAGGUGAUUGGGGCGGUUAUUGGAGUGAUGCUCAUGCGAUUUGCAUUCCCUAAAGUAGGUAAAGGAGCUGCGUUAAGCGUCGGUGUUCAUCAUGGGGCUUUAACUGAAGGACUGGCAACCUUAAUGGUUGUUAUGGUGUCAUUGACACUUAAAAAGAAAGAACAGGGGUUCUUUGUGAAGACAUGGAUUGCCAGCAUUUGGAAAAUGACGAUUCAUAUCCUUAGCUCAGAUAUGACUGGAGGAAUUAUGAACCCUGCAUCUGCCUUUGCUUGGGCCUAUGCUCGUGGAGAUCACACAUCAUUUGACCACCUACUGGUAUAUUGGCUCGCACCCCUCCAAGCAACCCUUGUAGGAGUAUGGGUGGUUACCUUCUUAACUAAACCCAAGAAGACCAAGGAGCAAGAAGCAGAUAAAAACAAGAACAAAAAGGAAUAGACUUCAGGAAGCGAGCCAUCGCCUGGUUGGGGAGUGGAUGUACAUACAGUACCAGCGCCUGGGUUGAAGUCCUCAUGGACUUGAAUUUAGGUUCUAUUUGGCUUUCCUUCAAGUAUUCCUUCAAAGAAAGAAGAAGGAACAUUGUUAUUGUGGGAGUGGUGUCCACCAUUUUUUCUGGAGCAAGAACUCCAGAUCAUAUUAUCAUUAAUUAUUCUAAAAUGUUCAUCUGUCAGCAUGUUGAAGC
This 3818-nucleotide transfer RNA is filed under the name Triticum aestivum (bread wheat). Its description in RNAcentral is "partial small subunit ribosomal RNA". The stretch from base 2409 to 2481 matches the Rfam family "tRNA". The record is from RNAcentral. Lineage: Eukaryota; Viridiplantae; Streptophyta; Magnoliopsida; Poales; Poaceae.